Molecule: ribosomal RNA, 477 nt
Filed under: uncultured bacterium
Lineage: Bacteria
Description: bacterial SSU rRNA
Rfam family: Bacterial small subunit ribosomal RNA
Source: RNAcentral
CUUAAGCAUGCAAGUCGAGCGGUAAGUCGGGAGCUUGCUCCUGACCUAGAGCGGCGGACUGGUGAGUAACGCGUGGGUGACGUACCUUUGUGAUGGGGACAGCUCCUAGAAAUAGGAGAUAAUACCGAAUACGCUGUAUGCUGUCAGAGGGCAUACAGGAAAGGUUCUUUUGAACCGCACAGAGAGCGGCCCGCGUACUAUUAGCUAGUUGGUGAGGUAACGGCCCACCAAGGCGACGAUAGUUACCCGGCCUAAGAGGGUGAUCGGGCACAUUGGGACUGAGAUACGGCCCAGACUCCUACGGGAGGCAGCAGCUAAGAAUAUUCCGCAAUGGACGAAAGUCUGACGGAGCGACGCCGCGUGGAUGAUGAAGGCCGGAAGGUUGUAAAAUCCUUUUAUGACUGAGGAAUAAGGAAGGUGAGAGAAACGCUUUCCGGUGACUGUAGGUCAUGAAUAAGCAACGGCUAAUUACGUGCC